GAUGAAGAACGUAGCGAAAUGCGAUAAGUAAUGUGAAUUGCAGAAUUCAGUGAAUCAUCGAAUCUUUGAACGCACAUUGCGCCCGCCAGCAUUCUGGCGGGCAUGCCUGUUCGAGCGUCAUUUCAACCCUCGAGCCCCCCCGGGGGCCUCGGUGUUGGGGGACGGCACACCAGCCGCCCCCGAAAUGCAGUGGCGACCCCGCCGCAGCCUCCCCUGCGUAGUAGCACACACCUCGCACCGGAGCGCGGAGGCGGUCACGCCGUAAAACGCCCAACUCUUCUGAAGUUGACCUCGAAUCAGGUAGGAAUACCCGCUGAACUUAAGCAUAUCAAUAAGCGGAGGA
This 343-nucleotide unclassified non-coding RNA is filed under the name soil metagenome. RNAcentral's name for it is "partial contains 5.8S ribosomal RNA, internal transcribed spacer 2, and large subunit ribosomal RNA". The stretch from base 1 to 120 matches the Rfam family "5.8S ribosomal RNA", at positions 35 to 154 of the family's 154-position model. The record is from RNAcentral.